RNAcentral lists this ribosomal RNA (408 nucleotides) under uncultured bacterium. RNAcentral's name for it is "partial 16S ribosomal RNA". It matches the Rfam family "Bacterial small subunit ribosomal RNA", at positions 28 to 526 of the family's 1533-position model. The record is from RNAcentral.
GACGAACGCUGGCGGCGUGCUUAACACAUGCAAGUCGAACGGAGUGGCGAACGGGUGAGUAACGCGUAAUCAACUUGCUCUUGAGAGGGGGACAACAGUUGGAAACGACUGCUAAUACCGCAUACGGAAGGUGGGGUUUGAGUGUGAUUAGAUAGCUGGGGGGGUAAGGGCCCAUCAAGGAGAUGGUCAGUAGCCGGGCUGGGGGGGAGAACGGCCACAUUGGGACUGGGGCACGGGCCAGACCCCCACGGGAGGCAGCAGGUGGGAAACUUCGGCAAUGGGCGGAAGUCUGACGGAGCAACGCCGCGGGAGUGAUGACGGCCUUCCGGUUGUAAAGCUCUGUUAAUCGGGAAGCGGUACCGGAAUAGAAAGCCACGGCUAACUACGUGCCAGCCGCCGCGGUAAUAC